AUGACAGCGAAACGAAUUCCAAACCUAAUCUGGACUCGCCACGGAGACGUCCCCGGCCCCCAACACUAUGUAGCCAAAAACAAGGUUCCGCGUGAAGCCAAGCGAAAGUCGACCUCCGUAAUGCAGUGGGAUGGGAUCAGGGCCGAGUUCGGAAGAUGCGGGGAGAGGAUGGAGAAACCUCUACCUGUCUGCUCUGGUCUCCCUUUCUCUUUCUUCCCAAAGCAGGUUUGGCGGAGAAGGCAGCUGGUGCGCCCCCGGUCGCUGCCUGGCUACGCGCGGGCGCGGGAGUUUGGACCAAGACAAAGACGGGAGCUGUCCGCGGUGCUGAACCUGCCGCGCCGCCGCGAGGGCAAAUGGGCUCCUGUAACUUGCAAGAUAUCCAUGCUUCCCCAGAAAGAGUAAAAUACGGGGUCAAAGGUGUUAACGCCUCAUCCUGCCAUCAUGAACAAAGUACCAUGCCCAGAUGGUCUUACAGGUGAGUUCUACAAAUAUUAAGAAGCAGAAGCUUCUUGUAUUACAUAAGUUGUUCCAGAAAAAAAGAAAGAAAAAGGAAAGCUACCCAAUUGACAUUUUGAUAGCAAGUCUGGAUAAGAGCACCAGAAAAUAGUCACUAGUAAUCUGAGAAAUGCUAAAACCUAAAUGGGAGGAAGUGUAUUUCUAUCUGCUUGAUAAAACCCAGAAAGUUGAGAACAUUAACAGCCAGUGAGCACGUGGGAAAAUGAAAGCCCUGAUGCAUGUUGGGGGUGGGGGCUGCAGUUUGAGGAGUAGUAUGCCAGCAUUUUAUGACAUGUAAUGUUUGCAUACAUCAUACUGCAGAAAUCCAAUUCCUGAGUAUUAACGCCAGAGCACCAGCCACACAGAUAUAUAAAAAUACCUAUGUUAGGCUGUUCAUCUCAACGUUGUUAGUGUAGG
This 912-nucleotide long non-coding RNA is filed under the name Bos indicus x Bos taurus (hybrid cattle). Its description in RNAcentral is "lncRNA (ENSBIXG00000001817.1)". Lineage: Eukaryota; Metazoa; Chordata; Mammalia; Artiodactyla; Bovidae. The record is from RNAcentral.